GUCCUAAGGGAAGCCAGGGGGGAUCAGGGGUUCUGAGAGGAGAUGAGGGGGCCUGGGGGACUUGAAAGAUGCUGGAACUUGAGCAGGACUGGGAGUUCUGAGGGGAGCCAGGGACACCGAGGGUCACAGGAUUUGUCUGAAGGGCGCCUGCAGCUCGAGCAGAUGUGCAGUCCUGACACAGAUCAGAGCACACACAGGCUGGAGGGGGCUUGGAGCAACCUGGACUAGCAGAAGGUGUCCCUGCCUGGUGCCAAGGCUAGCUGGAGGAUGAUUUUUUCUUUACUGGGACAUGUGCCAUGUUUGUCUCCAAUAUUUUUCCAGAAGAAAGCAACAUCUUCUCGUUCUCCUCGCUGUGGUGGCAGCGCAGACGUCCCUUUUAGACCGAGAUCCACAGGCUGAUUGCCCUCGGCUGGCAGCGGGAGGGGUCGGGCAGUGCCAGCUGUGUCCUGUCCUGCCCUUCCUGCAGCGCCCUGGCUGUGGGACGAGCGCCGAGGAUCCCGUGGGAGCGCAGGAAGCGCCGCUCCUUGGAAAGGCGAGCGGGGCCGGCCGGAACCAGGACAUUCUGGGAAGCCCCCGAGGUGGUUUGCAUCACACUUCUGUCACAGCUGACUUGGACCCUUUGGAACUGCAAAUGAGGCUUGGUUCAGGCAGUGGCUCUAAAAAGCAUUCUGAGGAUUUCCAGUACCCAAGUGAUUGAAACAGACUGAGCACCCUGACAGAAAGAAAGGCAGGUUAUUCUUCUGGAACCCCUACAAUAUCAAAGAACAAAUCAAAAUCCACAAUGUGAUUUGUUUGUAUUGUAAAGUUCAUAUUUGGCUCUUGUAGGCACCACUCCUGGGACUUAAAAAUCAACUAGGAUUACAUUUUAGCCUGAGUAUUAAAUGGGCAUGGAAUUAAAACAUCAGAGCAGCUAUGUCCAAUUCUUUUAAGUAAUUAAUGUAUAUAAAAUCUCAUUUCCAUACUGAUUAAUGGUUUGGUUUCUCUCAUCUCUCAUUGGUCAGUGAAUUAUCUCACAAUAAUCUCGUUUUCUUGGUUGUGAUUAGCAAUAACUCCUCUUUGUUCUUUUCUGCAUCACUGUGUUCCCAGAACUUCUGAGAAAAUGAUCUUUUUCCCCUGGAUUAGUCACGGUGUUAGGACAAACAUGGCCUUGUUUCCUCAUGAAAUGUAUCAGCACCACUGUGUUUAUUUCUCCACAGCCUUGACCAGCAGGAGGAUGGGGGAGUCCAACUGAAGAUUUGGAUGCAAACUUCUGGUGAAAUGGCAGCUUUUGCAAAGUUCAGUGUGGGCAGUGCUGGAGUGCCUGACCAGUGUUUAUCCUGCACAAACUCCAAGGGAGAGGCGAGAGCCGUGAGCUCAGCGUGGCUUUGAUCCAGUCACCAACUGCCCAAAGCACUUCUAAACAUGUCAGGCUCAAGGAACAGCUUGUGGAGAGCAGGAGAGGGCCACAGUCAUUCCCAGCAGCUUUCAUUCCCCAUGGAGGCACUACAAGGAGAAAGCUCCUCCACUUUCAUCCCUGGGAAGAGGGAGGGAGUUGGUGUGAGCUGGCACAGCUUCCCCACCACAUCACCAGCCCCAUCCCAGGGAGGGAGUGACCAGGGCUGUGCUCACCAUUCCCUGUGCUCCACUGGAGCAGUGGAGCAGAAAAGCUGCAAUGGCCACUGAUGUUUAGUGGUUUUCCUACAGAGUGAGAGUUUUUAGGAGAGACAGAAAAUGGAAAUGGGAAGAGUUUCAUGUCUAAAUGUCUAUUUAUUGUCUAAAUGGUGAUUCUGGCUUGGAAAAUGGUUCUUUGGUACCUUCCAAUGUUCACGGAAUCGUGGAAUUCCAGACUGGAUGGGGUGGAAGGGACCUUAAAUCUCACAUUCCCAGCCCCUGCCAUGGGCAGGGACAACUUCCACUGUCCCUGGCUGCUCCAGCCUGGCCUGGGACACUUCCAGAGAUCCAGGGGCAGCCACAGCUGCUCUGGGAAUUCCAACCCACCCAGGGAAGGAUGGGGGUUAUAAUGUUUGGGUUUGAUUUAGAAUAGAAAGCCAAGUCCAGGAUGGGUUUGUUAAUUUUUUUUUUCCCAAAGAAAAAAUGCCUUCAGAGUUGUGGAAUUUUAUUCUUCGAGGUAUUGGUGUUACAGAAUGUGCUGAAGUAUUUGUAUGGGAAAAUUAAUGAAAUUAUCCCAGAUUAAAUAAUUUGCUGCCAGUUAAGAGCCUGGUGCUAUCAUUUUUAGAUUGGUGAUGUGUUUACAAACAACACACUGCCACAUCUACAUAAAUUAUAAAUAAAUAUAUAUAUUUAGUGAGAGAGGUGUAACCCAUGAUUGAAGUGAUAUUGUGGUUGAAUCCCUCAUAUCAUCCACUUUUCCCUCUGAAAGGAUUUAAUUGUCCAAACAAAUAGAGAAAGUUUAAGGGAAAUUCUUACAUAAAGGAAAAAGGGAGAACUUUCCCUUUUUUCUGUGUAAGCCAUUGCAGAGUUUCCCUGCAGAAAGCUUCAACCUGUAUUGACAUUUUGGUUCCCUUUUUUCCCUGAUCCUGGCUGCCCCUGAUUCCAGAGAACAAUGGGAGGGGAGUGAGUGCUGAGGGUAUUUAAAGCACAAUCAUGGGAAAUGCUCCCAUCACACAGAGCCCUUUUCCUUCCCCUGGCGAAUCCCCUGGCUGUGCUCCAGAGCCUCUUCCCCAGGGAAUUGUUCACAUGGAGAACUCCUGAAUUGCAGGGACACCGUUGGAAGGGCACAAGGACACCCCAUCCAAGGCCCAGGAUCCACUUUCCUGCUGCAUUCAGAAGGUGCUGCUGGGGGAAUCACACUGAUUCUAACAGCUCCAAAGGACCACGUGGAGCCCAGGAGCAGCUCGGACUCAGGUGGUGAAAGCACAGCACCAUUUUCCUGCCUUGAGGGAAGAAGGCGAGUCCUGGAGGUCCCCAAGAAAUGACAGAAUUUCCAAGCCAGGGAAGCUGGAAUGACCUUUCCUUGAAACUCCGGGCUAGGAAUAAUUCCCUUCACAUGUCCUGAGUGGGGAUGAGCUGGCUGUGGUGCCAGGAAAGGUGAGGGGAAUAUUUCAGUUACUCACCUUGUAUUUAUUCACUUGUCAUUUCAGGGGAACAACGUGAACCCUCUCCUUUCCUCCUCCCAGGCCAUGAAUAACAUUGAGGAAAUUGUUUGCACUUGGAAACCACAAGGUGGGGAGGUCAGGGAUAUAAAAAUGCAAAGAAUUGUAAUCUGUGAGUGAAACUGUGAAAUCAAAUGUUGAGCAAGAUGCUUCGAAAGGAAACAAUAUAUUUUCAGAAUUAGAUCACAAGUGAUUUUUUUUUUUUUGCUGUACAGAAUAAUUUCUCAUUCACUCUUUGAAGGAAAUGAAAAAGAAAAUUACAUUUCAUCUCUCUCUCCAGCCCUUUACUCUAACAAAUACUUAGGCAGAAUUUCUUGUCCUCUAAUUUGAAUUAUCAGUUUGAGAAAUGUUUUUUUCCUCAACUCUCCAGCUUGUUUCCAAUUCUUUGCCUAUAAGGAAAUGAUUAUGCUUCCCCUUUCCCACCUUUUAUCUCUUUUCCUCAAAAUUAGAGCUUUCUGUAAUUUUUUCCCCAUGGUAUCAUACUCAGAGAUAAAGCUGGAUACAUGGAGAUGACUCAGAACUAUUGCAAAAAUUGUGAUUUUUCUUUUUUUUUUUAUUUUAAACAAUGUCAACCCAAUGAGAAUAUUUAACAUAACCAUGUCAACUACAGGGAUAGAAUUUACUUGAAUUUCCUCAGAUCAAGGCCUGGGAGAGCUGGUGAGAAGGAAUUCCACUGAGGGGAGGAAUGAAUUUGGAAGCGAGGGAUCAGGUGUAUCAGCAAAGGAAUUAAAGCUCAGGGAACAACGGGACCACUGAAUCAAGUUGUUUGCUUGGAAACUUCUCCAGGCUGCAGCAGAGAGAAGGAAAGAAAUCCACCCCACCUCAGCCAGGUCUUGGAAAGCCUCCAGCAGAGUUCAGCCUCUCGAGGGCAGAGGAAAUGCCUGAGGAGGGGCUGCUGGAUGUGCAGAAAAUGCUCAGCUGUGGGCAGGAAAAAAGCAGGAGCUGGCAGGAGAUCUGCUCUGGAAUGAAGGAACUGAGGGGGAGAACAGAGCUGAGAGGGGCCUGCAGGAGCCUGGAGGGAGGAGCUGGAUCUUUGGGGUG
Non-coding RNA from Taeniopygia guttata (zebra finch), 4133 nucleotides. NCBI's taxonomy places the organism in Eukaryota, Metazoa, Chordata, Aves, Passeriformes, Estrildidae. The record is from RefSeq and is a predicted model, not a curated record.